Long non-coding RNA from Passer montanus (Eurasian tree sparrow), 299 nucleotides. RefSeq lists it as uncharacterized. The transcript is spliced from 3 exons. The record is from RefSeq and is a predicted model, not a curated record. NCBI's taxonomy places the organism in Eukaryota, Metazoa, Chordata, Aves, Passeriformes, Passeridae.
CACACUCUAGGAACAGCACAGCCAGGAGAGAUGACAGGGCUGCUUGUGGAAAUCAGCUCUCCAUGGAAACCCAUCACUUUCCACCCCGGCCCUUGUCAGCAGAGGAACGAGUAAAUGAGGAGCUGAGCCAAAAGGUUUAGCUGCACACCUAGCAUCAGCAUGAACUGCAAAAGCAACAGAUUUUUACAACUUAAGAAGAUAUUCUGGAUGGAUGGAAGAAAUCAAUUCUCUUUUGAAUGGUGCUUACUACAUUAAGGCCACAUAUCAUGUGUCCACUGAGAUUAGAAACAGAAACUCAC